This 433-nucleotide ribosomal RNA is filed under the name uncultured bacterium. RNAcentral describes it as "partial 16S ribosomal RNA". It matches the Rfam family "Bacterial small subunit ribosomal RNA", at positions 29 to 507 of the family's 1533-position model. The record is from RNAcentral.
AACGAACGCUGGCGGCAUGCCUAACACAUGCAAGUCGAACGAGACCUUCGGGUCUAGUGGCGCACGGGUGCGUAACGCGUGGGAACCUGCCCUUAGGUUCGGAAUAACUCCCCGAAAGGGGUGCUAAUACCGGAUAAUGUCUUCGGGCCAAAGAUUUAUCGCCUUUGGAUGGGCCCGCGUUGGAUUAGCUAGUUGGUAGGGUAAUGGCCUACCAAGGCGACGAUCCAUAGCUGGUCUGAGAGGAUGAUCAGCCACACUGGGACUGAGACACGGCCCAGACUCCUACGGGAGGCAGCAGUGGGGAAUAUUGGACAAUGGGCGAAAGCCUGAUCCAGCCAUGCCGCGUGAGUGAUGAAGGCCUUAGGGUUGUAAAGCUCUUUUACCCGGGAUGAUAAUGACAGUACCGGGAGAAGAAGCUCCGGCUAACUCCGUG